GUUACCUGCCCCUACUAGGCUGUGUGGUCGGUUGACUGGGAGGUUUCCCCUUUUUUUUUUAAAGGAGCUCCUCUGCAUCGCUGCUUGUGCAGGUGACUUCUGCUGCUGAUUUGCUGCUGUGACUUCAAACCAUUGGGGCUGUCUGCUGACGGCGAGCUGCUGUUUUGUUUCUAGCGAAUUUCUUUAUUGUUUUGUUUGUGAUACUGUGUAUUCAUUUUUUUUUUUUUUUUUUUUGUAAUUGUUGCGUAGUGUGUAUAAUUAGAUCAUCAGCGCGCUAAAAUCGUUAGA
Pangasianodon hypophthalmus (striped catfish) is the source of this 288-nucleotide long non-coding RNA. RefSeq lists it as uncharacterized. The transcript has 2 exons. The record is from RefSeq and is a predicted model, not a curated record. NCBI's taxonomy places the organism in Eukaryota, Metazoa, Chordata, Actinopteri, Siluriformes, Pangasiidae.